AUUUCCUCCGAAUUGCCGCUUUCCCGCAAAACGUACCCCUUCCCUGCCUUAUCCCCUCGUCCUCGAGGAAAAAAAGAAAAUAAGGAGACGAGGAGCUCGGCGUUAACCACCACUAGGGAGCUCGGCGGCGACCACAGGCAGCUCGGCGGCGAGUCCCAAGGAGCUCGGCGGCCACCCCCAGGUUCGAUUCGGCCCCGCUCCCUGCUCCUCUACCCAUCUCCUUCCCCGCUCCCUUCUCCUGUUCCCAUCACCAUCCUCACGCAUCUCGGCGGCCACCACGAGGACCUCGCCGGUGAGCACCAGCAGGACCACGGCGGCGUCGAUGCCGGUUCCCCGGUCCGCUUCUGCCCGUCCCGUCCUCCUCACCCUAUUCAGUCCCCGGUCUAGGUUGCAUCUUGUCGGCGUCCAGCGGACCACGGCGACCACCAGCAGGGCUGCGAUGGCAGGGGCACAGGUCUCCUCUGGCCACGGGCACUGCACCUCGGGCCUUCUCCCUAUCCGCUGCGUGCACCCCCUGUACCCAUCUCCUUUCCUACACCAGCGGACCAGCCCAUGAUUUGUGAACUGUCCGUCGAUCUGCAUGCCGAGUGAAGGUAUAUGGCUGAAAUCUCCUAUUUUUGCUAUGCAUCUGUGCAUGCGAUGUCUUGCUGCAAUGUUUUACAUCUAGAUAAUAAAACUGAAUUGUACAGCCCAAUGUCGGAUCAAUUGGAAUUGGUUGAGAGGAUAAUUGAAGAAAAUAAAAGAUGGAAGAGGAAAAGAAUAGUUCUGACUAAAUUGUUUGUUGAAACAUGUGCUCUUGCUUUAGAAUUUGUUUCUACACAAAGGAAUAGGGGACCAGGGGACCUAGGAACUUAUAAUGAUGAUGAGGACAAGAUUAGGAAUAGGAAAUAUUUGCUUAAAUGCAUGUAUGAUGGAUCUGCUGUGGCAUGCUAUGAUCAAUUGCGUUUAACUAAACGAAACUUUCAUGACCUUUGCACCAUGUUAAGGGAGAGAUGUGGCCUUUGUGAUAGUGUAUAUGUGACAGUGGAAGAGAAAGUUGCAAUGUUCUUGCUUGUAGUUGGUCAUAGUAUUAAGAUGAGGAUGUUGCGUGGCACCUACAAGCGUUCUUUAUGGACCAUUAGCACACACUUCUCUGCUGUCCUAAACGCCCUACUCUCUCUACAUGGGGAGUUCAUUAAGUUGCGUUCCUCUACCGCUCAAGCUCCUGAUGAUUACAAAUGGAAGUGGUUUGGUAAUGCACUUGGAGCACUAGAUGGUUGUCAUAUUGACGUGCUUGUUGAUGUGGCUGACCAAGGAAGGUAUAGGAACAGAAAGCAAGCCAUUACCACUUGGAGCACCAAGGAAGGUACUUGGAGCACUAGGUGUUGUUGAUUGGAACAUGAAGUUUCUUUAUGUGUUACCUGGCUGGGAGGGUUCAGUUUCAGAUUCGAGAGUUUUGCGUGAUGCAAUGAGGGCGAACCGCCAUGAUUCAUUUGUUGUGCGUAAGGGGAAAUAUUAUUUAGUUGAUGCUGGUUAUACCAAUGGAGAAGGAUUUCUAGCUCCAUUCAGGUCCACUCGGUAUCAUCUAAAAGAAUGGGCUGCAAGUGCACAACAGCCUCAAAUAGCUAAAGGGUUAUAUAAUUUGCGUCAUUCUCGUGCUAGGAAUGUAGUGGAGCGAAUAUUUGGCUUCUUCAAGAAAAAAUGGGCUAUCUUGCGUUCCCAAACCUUCUUUGACAUAAAGGAUCAGAUUCGAAUUAUUAGUGCUUGUUGAGUGUUGCACAACUUUGCAAGGGAUAGGCAACAUGUCAUGGAUGAUUUGUUAUUGCCUGAAGUGGAUAGUGAAUUAGCCAAUGCGCCAAAUGAUGAUCCAGAUGAUGACAACUUCAUUAGAAGUGUGCAAGUCACUACUGAAUGGUCCAACUUUAGGCAACAACUAGCUGAUGAUAUGUUUGCUGAGUACCUUGUGGCGCAAGGAGAACAAGAGAUCGAAUAGGAUGAGAGUAUGAUAUGUAGCUGCGGUGGUCUUCUUUUGUAUAGCUAGCUGCGGUGGUCUUGUUUUGUAUAGCUAGCUGCGGUGCUCUUCUUUUGUAUAUCUAGCUUCGGUGGUCUUCUUUUGCAUAGCUAGCUGCUGGCUAAUGUGAUGAUGCGUGUGGUAUUUUGUAUAUGCAUCAUCUUCAUGCAACUAAUGAAUGACAUUAUGUUUCAAUCAUGGUGUUUGUCAA
Non-coding RNA from Triticum urartu, 2201 nucleotides. Lineage: Eukaryota; Viridiplantae; Streptophyta; Magnoliopsida; Poales; Poaceae. The record is from RefSeq and is a predicted model, not a curated record.